RNAcentral lists this ribosomal RNA (497 nucleotides) under uncultured bacterium. Its description in RNAcentral is "partial 16S ribosomal RNA". It matches the Rfam family "Bacterial small subunit ribosomal RNA", at positions 28 to 507 of the family's 1533-position model. The record is from RNAcentral.
GAUGAACGCUGGCGGCGUGCCUAAUACAUGCAAGUCGAGCGAACGGACGAGAAGCUUGCUUCUCUGAUGUUAGCGGCGGACGGGUGAGUAACACGUGGAUAACCUACCUAUAAGACUGGGAUAACUUCGGGAAACCGGAGCUAAUACCGGAUGAUAUUUUGAACCGCAUGGUUCAAAAGUGAAAGACGGUCUUGCUGUCACUUAUAGAUGGAUCCGCGCUGCAUUAGCUAGUUGGUAAGGUAACGGCUUACCAAGGCAACGAUGCAUAGCCGACCUGAGAGGGUGAUCGGCCACACUGGAACUGAGACACGGUCCAGACUCCUACGGGAGGCACCAGUAGGGAAUCUUCCGCAAUGGGCGAAAGCCUGACGGAGCAACGCCGCGUGAGUGAUGAAGGUCUUCGGAUCGUAAAACUCUGUUGUUAGGGAAGAACAUAUGUGUAAGUAACUGUGCACAUCUUGACGGUACCUAAUCAGAAAGCCACGGCUAACUACGUG